RNAcentral lists this ribosomal RNA (329 nucleotides) under uncultured eukaryote. Its description in RNAcentral is "partial 18S ribosomal RNA". It matches the Rfam family "Eukaryotic small subunit ribosomal RNA", at positions 1470 to 1796 of the family's 1831-position model. The record is from RNAcentral.
CCCUUAGAUGUCCUGGGCCGCACGCGCGCUACACUGAGUGUCUGAGAUACGAGUCUGCCUGGUCCGGCAAGGUCUAGGUAAUCGCUAAAAGACACAUCAUGCUUGGGAUAGAUUAUUGCAAAUAUUAAUCUUGAACGAGGAAUUCCUAGUAAGCGCAAGUCAACAGCUUGCGUUGAUUACGUCCCUGCCCUUUGUACACACCGCCCGUCGCUACUACUGAUUGGAUGUUUAAGCGAGGUUCUCGAACUGCUAGCGACUUAGCUUCGGUGAGGUCGCAGUGUGGGAAGUGAACCUAGCUUUGGUGUCUAGAGGAAGGUGAAGUCGUAACA